UACGUAGGUGGCAAGCGUUGUCCGGAUUUAUUGGGUUUAAAGGGUGCGUAGGCGGUUUUUUAAGUCAGUGGUGAAAUACGGCAGCUCAACUGUCGAGGUGCCAUUGAUACUGGGAAACUUGAGUACUGAUGAGGUAGGCGGAAUGGACGGUGUAGCGGUGAAAUGCUUAGAGAUGACAUAGAAUACCUAUUGCGAAGGCAGCUUACUACGCAGAUAUUGACGCUCAUGCACGAAA
This 235-nucleotide ribosomal RNA is filed under the name uncultured prokaryote. Its description in RNAcentral is "partial 16S ribosomal RNA". It matches the Rfam family "Bacterial small subunit ribosomal RNA", at positions 524 to 758 of the family's 1533-position model. The record is from RNAcentral.